This 433-nucleotide ribosomal RNA is filed under the name uncultured bacterium. Its description in RNAcentral is "partial 16S ribosomal RNA". It matches the Rfam family "Bacterial small subunit ribosomal RNA", at positions 29 to 507 of the family's 1533-position model. The record is from RNAcentral.
AACGAACGCUGGCGGCAUGCCUAACACAUGCAAGUCGAACGAGACCUUCGGGUCUAGUGGCGCACGGGUGCGUAACGCGUGGGAACCGGCCCUUAGGUUCGGAAUAACUCCCCGAAAGGGGUGCUAAUACCGGAUAAUGUCUUCGGACCAAAGAUUUAUCGCCUUUGGAUGGGCCCGCGUUGGAUUAGCUAGUUGGUAGGGUAAAAGCCUACCAAGGCGACGAUCCAUAGCUGGUCUGAGAGGAUGAUCAGCCACACUGGGACUGAGACACGGCCCAGACUCCUACGGGAAGCAGCAGUGGGGAAUAUUGGACAAUGGGCGAAAGCCUGAUCCAGCAAUGCCGCGUGAGUGAUGAAGGCCUUAGGGUUGUAAAGCUCUUUUAACCGGGAUGAUAAUGACAGUACCGGGAGAAUAAGCCCCGGCUAACUCCGUG